This 119-nucleotide ribosomal RNA is filed under the name Schizosaccharomyces cryophilus OY26. The record is from RNAcentral. Lineage: Eukaryota; Fungi; Ascomycota; Schizosaccharomycetes; Schizosaccharomycetales; Schizosaccharomycetaceae.
GUCUACGGCCAUACCUAGGCGAAAACACCAGCUCCCGUCCGAUCACUGCAGUUAAGCGUCUGAGGGCCUCGUUAGUACUAUGGUUGGAGACAACAUGGGAAUCCGGGGUGCUGUAGGCU